RNAcentral lists this long non-coding RNA (365 nucleotides) under Homo sapiens (human). RNAcentral describes it as "HSALNT0312982". It matches the Rfam family "Bacterial large subunit ribosomal RNA", at positions 704 to 1192 of the family's 2925-position model. The record is from RNAcentral. Lineage: Eukaryota; Metazoa; Chordata; Mammalia; Primates; Hominidae.
AGCUAAGGCCCCCGAAACCAGACGAGCUACCUAAGAACAGCUAAAAGAGCACACCCGUCUAUGUAGCAAAAUAGUGGGAAGAUUUAUAGGUAGAGGCGACAAACCUAUCGAGCCUGGUGAUAGCUGGUUGUCCAAGAUAGAAUCUUAGUUCAACUUUAAAUUUACCUACAGAACCUUCUAAAUCCCCUUGUAAAUUUAACUGUUAGUCCAAAGAGGAACAGCUCUUUGGACACUAGGAAAAAACCUUGUAAAGAGAGUAAAAAAUUUAAUACCCAUAGUAGGCCUAAAAGCAGCCACCAAUUAAGAAAGCGUUCAAGCUCAACACCCAUCCAAAUGGAAAGCAAAAAAAAAAAAAAAAAAAAAAA